CCUACGGGUGGCAGCAGUGGGGAAUAUUGCACAAUGGGGGAAACCCUGAUGCAGCGACGCCGCGUGAGUGAAGAAGUAUCUCGGUACGUAAAGCUCUAUCAGCAGGGAAGAAAAUGACGGUACCUGACUAAGAAGCCCCGGCCAACUACGUGCAAGCAGCCGAGGUAAUACGUAGGGGGCAAGCGUUAUCCGGAUUUACUGGGGGUAAAGGGAGCGGAGACGGCAGACCAAGUCGGGAGUGAAAUCCCGGGGCUUAACCCCGGAACUGUUUGGAAACUGUGCGGCUGGAGUGCAGGAGGGGUAAGCGGAAUUCCUAGUGUAGCGGUGAAAUGCGUAGAUAUUAGGAGGAACACCGGUGGCGAAGGCGGCUUACUGGACUGUAACUGACGUUGAGGCUCGAAAGCGUGGGGAGCAAACAGGAUUAGAUACCCCGGUAGUC
Molecule: ribosomal RNA, 439 nt
Filed under: uncultured bacterium
Lineage: Bacteria
Description: partial 16S ribosomal RNA
Rfam family: Bacterial small subunit ribosomal RNA
Source: RNAcentral